UAUAACUGGAGAAAAUAUGGACAGAAACAUGUUAAAGGAAGUGAAUUCCCACGCAGCUAUUACAAAUGUACACAUCCUAACUGUGAAGUGAAGAAGUUAUUUGAGCGCUCUCAUGAUGGACAGAUAACAGAGAUUAUGUAUAAGGGUACACAUGAUCAUCCUAAGCCUCAACCCAGCCGCCGAUAUACUGCUGGUGCUGUUUUGUC
This 206-nucleotide unclassified non-coding RNA is filed under the name Hevea brasiliensis (rubber tree). Lineage: Eukaryota; Viridiplantae; Streptophyta; Magnoliopsida; Malpighiales; Euphorbiaceae. The record is from RNAcentral.